GCCUGGGUGGCUCAGUCAGUUAAGCAUCUGACUUCGGCUCAGGUUAUGAUCUCAUGGUUCGCGGGUUGGAGCCCCGCAUCGGGCU
This 85-nucleotide transfer RNA is filed under the name Felis catus (domestic cat). It matches the Rfam family "tRNA". Rfam says of the family: Transfer RNA (tRNA) molecules are approximately 80 nucleotides in length. Their secondary structure includes four short double-helical elements and three loops (D, anti-codon, and T loops). RNAcentral also lists the same sequence under 3 other names. The record is from Rfam by way of RNAcentral. Lineage: Eukaryota; Metazoa; Chordata; Mammalia; Carnivora; Felidae.